GAUGAACGCUAGCGGGAGGCCUAACACAUGCAAGCCGAGGGGUAUGAUUCUUUCGGGGAUCGGAGACCGGCGCACGGGUGCGUAACGCGUAUGUAACUUACCCCAUUCACUGGGAUAGCCCUUCGAAAGGAGGAUUAAUACCGGAUAACACUAAGGUGGGCAUCCACUUUGGUUGAAAGAUUUAUCGGAAUGGGAUAGACAUGCGUCAGAUUAGCUAGUUGGAGAGGUAACGGCUCACCAAGGCGAUGAUCUGUAGGGGGCCUGAGAGGGUGACCCCCCACACUGGUACUGAGACACGGACCAGACUCCUACGGGGAGCAGCAGUGAGGAAUAUUGGACAAUGGGUGAGAGCCUGAUCCAGCCAUCCCGCGUGCAGGAAGACGGCCCUAUGGGUUGUAAACUGCUUUUGAUGGGAAUAAACCACCUUACGAGUAGGGUGUUGAAGGUACCAUACGAAUAAGCACCGGCUAACUCCGUGCCAGCCGCCGCGGUAAU
Molecule: ribosomal RNA, 495 nt
Filed under: uncultured bacterium
Lineage: Bacteria
Description: bacterial SSU rRNA
Rfam family: Bacterial small subunit ribosomal RNA
Source: RNAcentral